AGGGCAGUAGCUCAGCUGGUAGAGCGCCGGUCUCCAAAACCGAUGGUCGGGGGUUCAAGUCCCUCCUGCCCUGCAA
RNAcentral lists this transfer RNA (76 nucleotides) under Actinomycetota bacterium. Its description in RNAcentral is "Actinobacteria bacterium tRNA-Trp". It matches the Rfam family "tRNA". Rfam says of the family: Transfer RNA (tRNA) molecules are approximately 80 nucleotides in length. Their secondary structure includes four short double-helical elements and three loops (D, anti-codon, and T loops). Further hydrogen bonds mediate the characteristic L-shaped molecular structure. tRNAs have two regions of fundamental functional importance: the anti-codon, which is responsible for specific mRNA codon recognition, and the 3' end, to which the tRNAs corresponding amino acid is attached (by aminoacyl-tRNA synthetases). tRNAs cope with the degeneracy of the genetic code in two manners: having more than one tRNA (with a specific anti-codon) for a particular amino acid; and 'wobble' base-pairing, i.e. permitting non-standard base-pairing at the 3rd anti-codon position. The record is from RNAcentral. Lineage: Bacteria; Bacillati; Actinomycetota.